ACGCAUUAAGCGUACGGUGCGAAAUUUGUCUUUGUGUGUGUCCAGAAAGUUGACAACAUCCCGCGUAGGAAAUGUUUCGAGUAUCUGUAAUUUAUUUGAUGUUCGUUUUGCUUUUGUUACUGAACAAAUGGUUGCCUGUUGCAAAUGGAUUUUGGCUAAAACCGGUCGACUUCAAAUACCAUUGUAGAGAAAAGUUUUCCCUAACGGAUGAUGAUAAGAUGGAUGACACAUAAAACUUAAAAUAACGGUAACGCAUCAUUUUACAAAACCGACUUUUUUAUAAGUAUUUUUGACUAUUGCUAUUACGGCUUGUAUUCAAUUCCGUUAUAUCAUAUUUUUCUUAUAUUCAAAAAAUGUUAUAAAUCAAUAAAUUUCCAUCUUUAUACCCGA
Ceratitis capitata (Mediterranean fruit fly) is the source of this 390-nucleotide long non-coding RNA. RefSeq lists it as uncharacterized. The record is from RefSeq and is a predicted model, not a curated record. The transcript is spliced from 2 exons. NCBI's taxonomy places the organism in Eukaryota, Metazoa, Arthropoda, Insecta, Diptera, Tephritidae.